UAACCUUUGCCGAGAGGUAAAGCUGAACGUACAGAAGUCAGUUCGAGUCGUAGUAUCGUAGAAGUCUAUGAAAAUAGAUGGAGAAAAGGAC
This is a non-coding RNA of Desulfosporosinus sp. BRH_c37, 91 nucleotides long. NCBI's taxonomy places the organism in Bacteria, Bacillati, Bacillota, Clostridia, Eubacteriales, Desulfitobacteriaceae. The record is from Rfam.